This 417-nucleotide long non-coding RNA is filed under the name Helianthus annuus (common sunflower). The record is from RNAcentral. Lineage: Eukaryota; Viridiplantae; Streptophyta; Magnoliopsida; Asterales; Asteraceae.
CCGAAAAGGGCACAUUCGGUAUUUACCGAACCGUAGCCAUAACCGUAGGUUAUGAGCAGGUUAAAAUUAAUUAAAAAUCUUUAAAAAUCUUUAAAAAUCCCAAAAUAUUAUUUUACUACAGUGGGUAAAAGUUUUGGUGACGAAAUCUUGGUUUAGGUAGGCGUUAUGCUAAUUGCGCGGUUUAUUACAAAAGUAGGCGUUAUGCUAAUUGCGCCGUUUAUUACAAAAGUUUCUUAAAAAUGCGCUAUUUAGCAUAACUCCCAUUCUAGACCUCGGAUUGGCGUGAAACUUUAGGGACAUGCUUAGAAUUUAGUAAGCAAGGUUAUGGUCCCUUCACGUGUCCGAAAUACUCGUUUUAUUUUAAAAAGGGCGUUACGGUCAACUUUCAAGUAAUUAACGGAAAUGCAUAAAAGACUC